This 253-nucleotide ribosomal RNA is filed under the name uncultured bacterium. RNAcentral describes it as "partial 16S ribosomal RNA". It matches the Rfam family "Bacterial small subunit ribosomal RNA", at positions 30 to 289 of the family's 1533-position model. The record is from RNAcentral.
UUGAACGCUGGCGGCAUGCCUUACACAUGCAAGUCGAACGGUAGAGGGGCAACCCUUGAGAGUGGCGAACGGGUGAGUAAUAUAUCGGAACGUGCCCAGUCGUGGGGGAUAACGCAGCGAAAGCUGCGCUAAUACCGCAUACGAUCUAAGGAUGAAAGCGGGGGAUCGCAAGACCUCACGCGAUUGGAGCGGCCGAUAUCAGAUUAGGUAGUUGGUGGGGUAAAAGCCCCACCAAGCCGACGAUCUGUAGCUG